RNAcentral lists this ribosomal RNA (1061 nucleotides) under Alexandrium catenella. RNAcentral's name for it is "partial large subunit ribosomal RNA". It matches the Rfam family "Eukaryotic large subunit ribosomal RNA", at positions 79 to 1099 of the family's 3401-position model. Lineage: Eukaryota; Dinophyceae; Gonyaulacales; Pyrocystaceae. The record is from RNAcentral.
UUUAGUAAUUGCGAAUGAACAAGGAUAUGCUUAGCUUGACAAAUGGAGCUAUUGGCUUUGAAUUGUAUUGUGGAAAUGUAUUACCAACAGAGGUGCAGGUGCCAGCCUAUUGAAAUAAAGCGUCAAUGAGGGUGAGAAUCCUGUUUGUCAUGUGCAGCCCUUUGUGCACGGUGUAUAUUUGCUGAGUCACACUCCUUGGCAUUGGAAUGCAAAGUGGGUGGUAAGUUUCAUGUAAAGGUAAACAUGCAAUUGAGACUGAUAGCACACAAGUACCAUGAGGGAAAUAUGAAAAGGACUUUGAAAAGAGAAUUAAAUGAGUUUGUAUUUGCUGAACACAAAGUAAACAGACUUGAUUUGCUUGGUGGGAGUGUUGCACUUGCUUGACAAGAGCUUUGGGCUGUGGGUGUAAUGAUUCUUUCUUUGCAUGCCAGUUUCUAUUUGUACAUCUGAUUACCUUUGCACAUGAAUGAUAAGUCUCCUGUGGGGGGUGGAUUGCAUGUGCAUGUAAUGAUUUGUGUUUUGAUAAAUGUGUCUGGUGUAUGUGUGUGUUCCUGUGCUUGGGGAUGCUUCCUUCCUUGGACUUACAAGCCCUGACACACACAUGCUGGCAAAAUGCUUCUGCUUGACCCGUCUUGAAACACGGACCAAGGAGUCUAACAGAUGUGCAAAGUUUGAAGGUGGUAUACCUUUGUGUGCAAUGAAAGUGUCAGCUGGGAUAUGUGCACCAGCACCCAAUUAAUUAGCGGACAGAGGUUUGAGUUGGAGCAUAUCUAUUAGGACCCGAAAGAUGGUGAACUAUGCCUGAACAGAAUGAAUUCAGAGGAAACUCUGAUGGAGGUUCGUAUCGAUACUGACGUGCAAAUCGUUCGUCAUAUUUGGGUAUAGGGGGAAAGACUAAUCGAACCAUCUAGUAGCUGGUUCCCUCCGAAGUUUCCCUCAGGAUAGCUGGAGUUGCUCAGUUUUAUCAGGUAAAGCGAAUGAUUAGAGGAAUUGGGGACAGGUUUGUCUUUGACCUAUUCUCAAACUUUAAAUGGGUAAUAUGUAGUGGUUGCUGUAUGGAA